GAAGGUAUGAUUGCCGAUAAACCUGAUUCAUACUGUAAAGAAAAUGUGAGCUCAACUGAAUGUACUUUCAGUAACACCGAUGUCCCAAUAGUGAUGUAAAUAUUGAGGUGAACUGCCACACAACGGCAUGGCUGCCUCAAUGAGAUGGAAUGAACCUUGAAGCCGUGUGUCUGCAUUGUUGACAACUAAUUGAUCAAUAAAAUGUUUUACGUUAUAGAAUGGAA
This is a long non-coding RNA of Biomphalaria glabrata, 224 nucleotides long. RefSeq lists it as uncharacterized. NCBI's taxonomy places the organism in Eukaryota, Metazoa, Mollusca, Gastropoda, Planorbidae. The record is from RefSeq and is a predicted model, not a curated record. The transcript has 2 exons.